RNAcentral lists this ribosomal RNA (460 nucleotides) under uncultured bacterium. Its description in RNAcentral is "partial 16S ribosomal RNA". It matches the Rfam family "Bacterial small subunit ribosomal RNA", at positions 338 to 795 of the family's 1533-position model. The record is from RNAcentral.
CCUACGGGAGGCAGCAGUGAGGAAUAUUGGUCAAUGGACGCAAGUCUGAACCAGCCAUGCCGCGUGCAGGAAGACGGCUCUAUGAGUUGUAAACUGCUUUUGUACGAGGGUAAACGCAGAUACGCGUAUCUGUCUGAAAGUAUCGUACGAAUAAGGAUCGGCUAACUCCGUGCCAGCAGCCGCGGUAAUACGGAGGAUUCAAGCGUUAUCCGGAUUUAUUGGGUUUAAAGGGUGCGUAGGCGGUCGGCUAAGUUAGAGGUGAAAUCCCGAGGCUCAACUUCGGAAUUGCCUCUGAUACUGUUCGGCUGGAGAGUAGUUGCGGUAGGCGGAAUGUAUGGUGUAGCGGUGAAAUGCUUAGAGAUCAUACAGAACACCGAUUGCGAAGGCAGCUUACCAAGCUACUUCUGACGUUGAGGCACGAAAGCGUGGGGAGCAAACAGGAUUAGAUACCCUGGUAGUC